Molecule: ribosomal RNA, 253 nt
Filed under: uncultured bacterium
Lineage: Bacteria
Description: partial 16S ribosomal RNA
Rfam family: Bacterial small subunit ribosomal RNA
Source: RNAcentral
UACGUAGGGUGCGAGCGUUGUCCGGAAUUAUUGGGCGUAAAGAGCUCGUAGGCGGCUCGUCGCGUCGACCGUGAAAACCCGCGGCUUAACUGCGGGCUUGCGGUUGAUACGGGCGGGCUAGAGUUCGGUAGGGGAGACUGGAAUUCCUGGUGUAGCGGUGAAAUGCGCAGAUAUCAGGAGGAACACCGGUGGCGAAGGCGGGUCUCUGGGCCGAUACUGACGCUGAGGAGCGAAAGCGUGGGGAGCGAACAGG